AUGGGCACAAGACGAGGAACUGUCAGGAGGGAGUGCAAGGUUAAUUGGUCCAAAGUUUGCUCGCCGAUAGAAUACGGUGGGCUUGUCAUCCUCAACCUCGAGAAAUUCAGUAGGGCACUUAGGUUGCGAUGGUUGUGGCACUCUUGGAAGAAUCCCGAUCGACCAUGGGUGGGGAUGGAGGUGCCAUGUGAUGACAGAGACAAGGCCACAUACAACGCAAUGACGACGAUCACCAUAGGGGACGGAAGCAGGGCCACCUUCUGGGAUGUGGCUGGGCGGACGCUGAACCCUUGA
This 294-nucleotide ribosomal RNA is filed under the name Triticum aestivum (bread wheat). Its description in RNAcentral is "partial small subunit ribosomal RNA". Lineage: Eukaryota; Viridiplantae; Streptophyta; Magnoliopsida; Poales; Poaceae. The record is from RNAcentral.